AGCAGCCGCGGUAAUUCCAGCUCCAAUAGCGUAUAUUAAAGUUGUUGCAGUUAAAAAGCUCGUAGUUGAAUUUCGGGGUUAGUAGGUUGGUCAUGCCUCUGGUAUGUACUGGUCUCACUGAUUCCUCCUUCCUGAUGAGCCGUAAUGCCAUUAAUUUGGUGUUGCGGGGAAUUUGGACUGUUACUUUGAAAAAUUGAGUGUUUAAAGCAAGCUAACGCUUGAAUACAUUAGCAUGGAAUAAUGAAAUAGGACGUUCGAUCCUAUUUUGUUGGUUUCUAGGAUUGACGUAAUGAUUAAUAGGGAUAGUUGGGGGCAUUAGUAUUCAAUUGUCAGAGGUGAAAUUCUUGGAUUUAUUGAAGACUAACUACUGCGAAAGCAUUUGCCAAGGAUGUUUUCAUUAAUCAAGAACGAAAGUUAGGGGAUCGAAGACGAUCAGAUACCGUCGUAGUCUUAACCAUAAACUAUGCCGACUA
Molecule: ribosomal RNA, 473 nt
Filed under: uncultured Glomus
Lineage: Eukaryota; Fungi; Glomeromycota; Glomeromycetes; Glomerales; Glomeraceae
Description: SSU rRNA
Rfam family: Eukaryotic small subunit ribosomal RNA
Source: RNAcentral